Sander lucioperca (pikeperch) is the source of this 129-nucleotide small nuclear RNA. The record is from Ensembl. Lineage: Eukaryota; Metazoa; Chordata; Actinopteri; Perciformes; Percidae.
CCUUUCCUUGUCAUGGGGUGGUAUGGGAGGCUCAAUGAACGUAUAGUGAGAGUUUCCCUGCUAACACCAUAUCAACACAUAUGCAUCACCUGAGCGUCAUGCUCAGGCCCUGAUGCAAUUUUUGGAAAC